AUGGACACCAAUAGUGCCCCUGGACCCGAUAAUAUUCCAGCAGAGUUCUAUCGAUUCUAUUGGGAUGUUGUUAAAGAUGAUAUUAUGAACUUGUUUAAGGCCUUUCAUGAAAGGACGCUGGAUGUAGAGAGAUUGAAUUAUGGGACUAUUACCCUGAUUCCUAAAAUUAACGGGGCCAAAAAAAUCCAAGAAGUUCGACCUAUUUGUCUUUUGAGAUGCCCUUAUAAGUUGAUCACCAAAGUUUUGGAUAACAGGGUUGCUGUGUUUGCUUACAAACUUAUCAGUCGCCACCAAAAUGCUUUUAUCAAGAAACGUAAUAUCCUGGAUGGGAUCCUGACAUUGCACGAAAUUCUACAUCAUACUCAUGUCAAGAAGAAAACAGGAAUUGUCCUGAAACUUGACUUUGAGAAAGCAUAUGAUAAGGUUAACUGGGAGUUUUUGCUUGAAUGCCACAAGAUGAGGGGCUUCAACACAAAAUGGUGUGAAUGGUUGGAGAAAAUUCUUCAUAAUGGCACAGUUAGUGUCAAAAUUAAUAACACCACGGACCCUUACUUCCAAAGUCAUAAGGGGGUCCGACAAGGGGACCCCAUGUCCCCUUUUCUUUUUAACAUUGUUGCUGAGUGUCUUACUAAGAUGAUACUUAAUGCCUAG
RNAcentral lists this ribosomal RNA (651 nucleotides) under Triticum aestivum (bread wheat). Its description in RNAcentral is "partial small subunit ribosomal RNA". Lineage: Eukaryota; Viridiplantae; Streptophyta; Magnoliopsida; Poales; Poaceae. The record is from RNAcentral.